CCGCGUGUAACUCAGCUAGUGAGAGAGCCGGGCUGCUUACCCGGCCGGCGCAGGUGCAACUCCUGCCACGCGGU
Molecule: transfer RNA, 74 nt
Filed under: Myxococcales bacterium
Lineage: Bacteria; Pseudomonadati; Myxococcota; Myxococcia; Myxococcales
Description: tRNA-Ser
Rfam family: tRNA
About the family: Transfer RNA (tRNA) molecules are approximately 80 nucleotides in length.
Source: RNAcentral